Long non-coding RNA from Protopterus annectens (West African lungfish), 836 nucleotides. RefSeq lists it as uncharacterized. The record is from RefSeq and is a predicted model, not a curated record. NCBI's taxonomy places the organism in Eukaryota, Metazoa, Chordata, Ceratodontiformes, Protopteridae. The transcript is spliced from 3 exons.
UUUCACAAGCCAGAGCAGAUUAUAAUAUAUGGAACAUAGUUCAAAACCUCAAAAAUAAAUGAAUAAAUCUGUUAUAACGCCUGAUACUUUUUAAUCGAACUGUUUAAUACAUCGAUGGAUAUAUUUUCGUAUUUCUCAGAUCUCAGAAGACUUCAUGCCAUGCAGGCACAUGCUUGCACACAAGACUUUUUUUGCAAGUAAAGCUGAACAGCGCCAUAUCUAGCACGCUGGGAUACCUCAGGGACAUCUAGCAGUCCACAUGUGUUUAGAUUAUCCUGUAGAGAAUUCCAUGUACAACUGGAUCUAGAAGAUACAUGAUUUUCACGCACCAAAGAUCAUGAUCCUCUUCUGUGGAAUGAGCAUCUGUACAUGUUGGCUGGAUAAAUGUACAUACAACAGUAGCAACAACCUGCACUGCUUUAUUUCACUGUUGUAGCAGGGUGAGGUAGUAGGUUGUGUGGUUUAAGGGUAGUGAUUUUGCCCCAACAGGAGAUAACUAUACAACCUACUGCCUUCCUUGAGGAGCAGCACUGCAACAAGCUAACAUCAAAGAGAAGAAAUGCCUUCACCUCAAAGCAGAAUUAGUGUUACUGGAUAAUAAAUGGUACUAACUACAUCAGAUAACUUAUAAUUCAUAUCUUACUCUGUGUAUAUACUUCUGAAUGAUGAACCCAACUAAAUAUAUAGCAAGACAGAGAGAGCAUGAAUAUCUUAUACUAUUUAAUUCAUUUUAUAAAAUUAUUUGCACAGUACUGUUAUGCUACAUAGCACAGUAAAUAAUGUACACAAAUUUAUAUGUUCAAUGUUUUUUUUUUAAUAAAAAAAUAUUAGUAGUA